AGUGAACGCUGGCGGUAGGCCUAACACAUGCAAGUCGAACGGCAGCACAGUAAGAGCUUGCUCUUACGGGUGGCGAGUGGCGGACGGGUGAGGAAUACAUCGGAAUCUACUUUUUCGUGGGGGAUAACGUAGGGAAACUUACGCUAAUACCGCAUACGACCUACGGGUGAAAGCAGGGGAUCUUCGGACCUUGCGCGUUUGAAUGAGCCGAUGUCGGAUUAGCUAGUUGGCGGGGUAAAGGCCCACCAAGGCGACGAUCCGUAGCGGGUCUGAGAGGAUGAUCAGCCACACUGGAACUGAGACACGGUCCAGACUCCUACGGGAGGCAGCAGUGGGGAAUAUUGGACAAUGGGCGCAAGCCUGAUCCAGCCAUACCGCGUGGGUGAAGAAGGCCUUCGGGUUGUAAAGCCCUUUUGUUGGGAAAGAAAAGCAGCAGGUUAAUACCCCGCUGUUCUGACGGUACCCAAAGAAUAAGCACCGGCUAACUUCGUG
Molecule: ribosomal RNA, 492 nt
Filed under: uncultured bacterium
Lineage: Bacteria
Description: partial 16S ribosomal RNA
Rfam family: Bacterial small subunit ribosomal RNA
Source: RNAcentral